Molecule: long non-coding RNA, 615 nt
Filed under: Populus trichocarpa (black cottonwood)
Lineage: Eukaryota; Viridiplantae; Streptophyta; Magnoliopsida; Malpighiales; Salicaceae
Description: long non-coding RNA (PTRI_LNC001576)
Source: RNAcentral
CCGUUUCUAGAAAUCAGCAUCGCCUUCUUCGUCUCCUUCCACAGGAACGGUUUCUGCAGUAAUGGCUUUGAAGCCGUUUCAAUUGUAGAGAUGCUUGGCAUUCUCUGGCUAUAAAGCCAUAGAAGAUGAGAGAGCGUGGAGGAGAAAAAAAGAGCAAAACCGGGGGGAAGAAAAAGCCAAGAACGGGAAAAAAAAGGGCAGAACCGAGGGGCUGAGAGAGAGAGAACGAAAAAAAAAAACCAGGAGAGGCAAAAAAAAAAGAAACCCAGAAAACAGAGACAAAGAAAACAGUAUACAGAGCAAAAACAGAGAUAAAAGCAAGCAAAAAACCCAGAAUACCAACAUUAACAUCACCGUCUUCUUGAUCGCCUCCUGCAAAUAAAAAAAAAGAACCCCCAGCAUUGCCAUCGUCUUCGUUCCUUCAUCUCAAAGAACCGGGAUAAUAGGCUAGAUAACCAGAAGCAAAGGAAACGCAAAACCCAGAGAGAAGAACGCAAGGAAAGGUGGAAAGGGUGCCCUGCCAAGCGUGGUUCAAUCACACAGAAGGAGCUUUGUCAUCCUCUUCGUCGCCUUCAGCCAACCAAGGUAAGCCGCUUCCUCUGCCUUUCGUUCGGU